UGGGGCCCCGGGCCACACCAUCAGGAAGUGAAGUGUCAUGGCUGAGCCAGGCAGCUCCACCAGCUCUCUGGGUGCCUCUCCCUCUUCCGUAAGGCGGACAGGCCAGACCUGUGAAGCCGUCGUGAACUUGGAGGGAAAGUCCGUGUCAGAUCUGCUCCUUUCCCCAGAGGGCCGGCAAGACCCCGCACACUCUGGCCCUGCUCUCCCUGACAUAACGGUCCCCAGACCAGGCGGGAGGAGCAAGCCCAGACCCCAAGAUCCCGCAGCUGCGCACCUUGGGCUUAGCCUCCUCACCCGUUUCUGCAGGCGCCCUGGCUUCCCCAGAGGUGUUACUAGUUUGAACAAACCUCCCUCUUCAGAUGCUUUGUCUUAUGCUGCUCUGAAGCUUUUGCUGCUGGACACUGGCCUGAGUGCAGCCUCCUGGAGAUGGUUCCCUUGUGAAAAGAUGUUAUCUUGGGACCAGAGGAUUCUAAUGUGUCAGUUCUUCAAGCAUCUUGUACAUCAGACAGUCAGCCCUUCUCCUGUCAUGUUUCCCAUUGGAGACGAAGAGAUGUACCCCUGAUCCCCGCGUGAUGACUUCUCUUCCGAAAGGCUGCCUCUACCCCUUUGCUUGGGUUUUCUGAGAACUGCGAGAGUAUCUUUUGUGUGUGUGUGUUUGUAUUUUUUUAAGUAUAGUUGAUCGACGAUGUGGUGCCAGUGUCUGCUCUACAGCAAGCUGACCCAGUCAUAUGUAUACACACAUUCUUUCUCUCGUGUCACCCCCAUCACCGUCUGUCCCGAGAGACUGGGUACAGUUCCCUGUGCUUAUGGCAGGACUUCAUUCCCCAUCCAUUCUAAAUGUAACAGUUUGCAUCUACUAACCUCAAACUCCCAGUCCAUCCCACUAUGUGUGAGCACCUUGAAUGCCACUAGAAUUCACAUCUUCUUACACAAGCUGACACCCGAGUCCCUGUGAGAACUCCACCGAUCAUCCCUCAAGCUCCAAAGGGGCUUCAAGAUGCCCCUGAAUGUCAGGGAAGGGACCCCAGGGCCCAGCACAGAGAUGUGGGCAGCAGGCAGUCUUCUGAUGGGCUGAAGCUUGGUGCUCAGCGUGCCAUCUCUUGGGCCACCCUGACUCCCGUGCAUUGCACUCAUUCCCAUAGAUGGGCAAAGGCUGAGGCCAGUCAGGGCUGAGGAAGGUCAAGCAGCACUUUGGGAAGAUGGGCCCUACUGGGCCAACCUGUGGCGAAGGGGUGUGGAGGGUUCGCUUCUUAACCGGCAAGAUCCUCUCUGUAACUAACGAAAUGCAACAAUGUAUUAAAAACAAUACAGCAUGACCAAAGGAGCUUUGAAACACAAAUGCAGGGAUGGUUCAAUAGAUUAAAGAAAUUUCAAAACCUAGGAGUUCCUGUUGUGGUUCAGAGGUAAUGAAACCUCCUCGUAUCCGUGAGCACAUGGAUUCAAACCCUGGCCUCG
This 1455-nucleotide long non-coding RNA is filed under the name Sus scrofa (pig). Its description in RNAcentral is "lncRNA (ENSSSCG00065075575.1)". Lineage: Eukaryota; Metazoa; Chordata; Mammalia; Artiodactyla; Suidae. The record is from RNAcentral.